This 305-nucleotide ribosomal RNA is filed under the name uncultured bacterium. RNAcentral's name for it is "bacterial SSU rRNA". It matches the Rfam family "Bacterial small subunit ribosomal RNA", at positions 335 to 655 of the family's 1533-position model. The record is from RNAcentral.
UAUCCUACGGGGGGCAGCAGUCGGGAAUAUUGCGCAAUGGAGGAAACCCUGACGCAGUGACGCCGCGUAUAGGAAGAAGGUUUUCGGAUUGUAAACUAUUGUCGUUAGGGAAGAAAAAAAGACAGUACCUAAGGAGGAAGCUCCGGCUAACUACGUGCCAGCAGCCGCGGUAAUACGUAGGGAGCGAGCGUUAUCCGGAUUUAUUGGGUGUAAAGGGUGCGUAGACGGGUAUACAAGUUGGUCGUGAAAUCCCUCGGCUUAACUGAGGAACUGCAACCAAAACUGUAUAUCUUGAGUACAGGAGG